AACGAACGCUGGCGGCAGGCCUAACACAUGCAAGUCGAGCGCACCUUCGGGUGAGCGGCGGACGGGUUAGUAACGCGUGGGAAUAUACCUAGUUCUAAGGAAUAGCCUCUGGAAACGGAGAGUAAUACCUUAUACGCCCUUCGGGGGAAAGAUUUAUCGGAAUUAGAUUAGCCCGCGUUAGAUUAGAUAGUUGGUGGGGUAACGGCCUACCAAGUCUACGAUCUAUAGCUGGUUUGAGAGGAUGAUCAGCAACACUGGGACGUGAGACACGGCCCAGACUCCUACGGGAGGCAGCAGUGGGGAAUCUUGGACAAUGGGCGCAAGCCUGAUCCAGCCAUGCCGCGUGAGUGAUGAAGGCCCUAGGGUCGUAAAACUCUUUCGCCAGGGAUGAUAAUGACAGUACCGUGGUAAAGAAACCCCGCUAACU
Molecule: ribosomal RNA, 427 nt
Filed under: uncultured bacterium
Lineage: Bacteria
Description: bacterial SSU rRNA
Rfam family: Bacterial small subunit ribosomal RNA
Source: RNAcentral